GUUGCCUCUCUCCUUUCGGCAGAUUAGCAAGCAAAGAGAAUGGACAUAAGGUGGCAAGAAGGAAUGAAAGAGUGACAACAAUGAAGGUGACUAGGAGCUUCUGUGACAAUGACGUAAUAACCCAGUUGAUGACUCCAGUCUCGAGACUUCAGGUUGCAGAUGCAUGUGACAGCCUCCAAAUUACAGUAAGACCUGACAGCCCGUGGAACUACUGCUCCUUACAACGCACUUUGGAAGUGUUAGUCCAGUUCAAUGAGCACACUUCAAAAAUGAAGACAGUAAGGCCCAGAGAAGGUAAUAAAAUGGGCAACUGUUAAACAUACAUUCAUCUUCUGAACAGUGUUACCCUGAGUCCAGGAGGAAGCUUUCAAAACAGAAGCCCAGCAUCACAAACCUUUCUCAGGACAGACUCUCUCUUCAGCCCCAGACUGGCUACUAAGGAAAAUGACUUUGGAACAAGGAAAGGUGGGGGCUGGUAGGAGCCAUCUCAGUCCUCUCUCAUCUCAUCUUAAUGUCAGGGACAGAUGAAGAAGGGAAAUAAAAACUCACCACGAGAAACAGAGGGCUGAUAGCUACCCAGCAGAUCCUCCAAAACCAUCCAGGGCUGAAGCCAAGCAUUUCCUUCACAUCACUGCAGAACUGAGUGAUGCC
This is a long non-coding RNA of Sus scrofa (pig), 651 nucleotides long. RefSeq lists it as uncharacterized. Lineage: Eukaryota; Metazoa; Chordata; Mammalia; Artiodactyla; Suidae. The record is from RefSeq and is a predicted model, not a curated record.